GUUGCCAUCGGGCGAGCCGGGCACUCUGGAGGGACUGCCGGCGACAAGCCGGAGGAAGGUGGGGAAUGGACGUCAAGUCAUCAUGGCCCUUAUGUCCAGGGCGGACACACGUGCUACAAUGGCCGGCACAGCGGGAAGCGGAGGGGCGACCCUGAGCGGAUCCCUUGAAAGCCGGUCCCAAUUCGGAUUGCAGUCUGCAACUCGACUGCAUGAAGUUGGAAUCGCUAGUAAUCGCGGAUCAGCCAAGCCGCGGUGAAUACGUUCCCGGGCCUU
This 273-nucleotide ribosomal RNA is filed under the name uncultured Thermovirga sp. RNAcentral's name for it is "partial 16S ribosomal RNA". It matches the Rfam family "Bacterial small subunit ribosomal RNA", at positions 1114 to 1382 of the family's 1533-position model. Lineage: Bacteria; Thermotogati; Synergistota; Synergistia; Synergistales; Thermovirgaceae. The record is from RNAcentral.